Molecule: unclassified non-coding RNA, 354 nt
Filed under: fungal sp.
Lineage: Eukaryota; Fungi
Description: partial internal transcribed spacer region
Rfam family: Eukaryotic small subunit ribosomal RNA (bases 1-46)
Source: RNAcentral
AAGUCGUAACAAGGUUUCCGUAGGUGAACCUGCGGAAGGAUCAUUAACACUAAACCCGUGAUGGCCGGCUCGUCCGCGCCUCACACCUACUAUCCACCCGUGGUCUUGUUUCGUCCCUUUGCCGCAAGGUGAAGGUUUAUCCGCUCGAUCGCUGAGUUCCGGAUGCCGGCGCCCAGUGGCGACGGUGAGUGCCACCGCGUACUUACCCGAGCCGUAUAGGUCGAGGGCCAUUUCAGCUAUUUUUUCUGCAUUCCAUACCUGCACUUAACCCAUAUGCAUGCGAAAGCAUGUGUAUGUUAUUGGCUUCGGUCAAUAAACCAAAUACAACUCGUAGCAACGGAUGUCUCGGCUAAC